This 439-nucleotide ribosomal RNA is filed under the name uncultured bacterium. RNAcentral's name for it is "partial 16S ribosomal RNA". It matches the Rfam family "Bacterial small subunit ribosomal RNA", at positions 338 to 795 of the family's 1533-position model. The record is from RNAcentral.
CCUACGGAGGACAGCAGUGGGGAAUAUUGCACAAUGGGGGAAACCCUGAUGCAGCGACGCCGCGUGAGUGAAGAAGUAUUUCGGUAUGUAAAGCUCUAUCAGCAGGCAAGAAAAUGACGGUACCUGACUAAGAAGCCCCGGCUAACUACGUGCAAGCAGCCGCGGUAAUACGGAGGAUGCGAGCGGUACCCGGAUUUAUUGGGUUUAAAGGGUGCGCAGGCGGAUUUUUAAGUAAGCGGUCAAAUCGUGGGGCUCAACCCCAUCCAGCCGUUGAAACUGGGGAUCUAGAGUGUGCGAGAGGUAUGCGGAAUGCGUGGUGUAGCGGUGAAAUGCAUAGAUAUCACGCAGAACCCCGAUUGCGAAGGCAGCAUACCGGUGCACAACUGACGCUCAGGCACGAAAGCGUGGGUAUCGAACAGGAUUAGAUACCCCAGUAGUC